This 712-nucleotide ribosomal RNA is filed under the name Myopa occulta. RNAcentral describes it as "eukaryotic LSU rRNA". It matches the Rfam family "Eukaryotic large subunit ribosomal RNA", at positions 89 to 654 of the family's 3401-position model. Lineage: Eukaryota; Metazoa; Arthropoda; Insecta; Diptera; Conopidae. The record is from RNAcentral.
GCGAGCGAAAAGAAAACAGUUCAGCACUAAGUCACUUUGUCUUUAUGAUAAAUGUGAGAUGCAGUGUAUGGAAUAUCUAUAAUCUAGUAUGAGAAAUUAACGAUUUAAGUCCUUCUUAAAUGAGGCCAUUUACCCAUAGAGGGUGCCAGGCCCGUGUAACGUUAAUGAUUAUUAGAAGAUAUUUCCAAAGAGUCGUGUUGCUUGAUAGUGCAGCACUAAGUGGGUGGUAAACUCCAUCUAAAACUAAAUAUAACCAUGAGACCGAUAGUAAACAAGUACCGUGAGGGAAAGUUGAAAAGAACUCUGAAUAGAGAGUUAAAUAGUACGUGAAACUGCUUAGAGGUUAAGCCCGAUGAACCUGAAUAUCCAUUAUGAAAAAUACAACAUUAUAUGUCUAUUAAUAUGUUUAUAUAUUAUAGAAAUGGUGUGCAUUUUUUUCAUAUAAAGGACAUUGUAAUCUAUUAAUAUUUAAUAUAUAUUUAUCAAAAAAUCAUUAGCUCUAUAAGUUUAUUUAAAUUAAUUUACAUUAUUGUAUUUUAACAUAAAAUAAAUGCUUAUGAUUUGAUAAAGUGUUGAUAGAUUUAUUAUAUAUAGUGCUUAAAUUCAUAAGAAUUUUAUUAUAAUAUAAAUUAUCUUUUUGAUUUUUAUAUUUAUAACAUGCGCUAAUAUGAUUAACAAUGCGAUAGAUUCAGGAUACCUUCGGGACCCGUCU